This is a long non-coding RNA of Sander lucioperca (pikeperch), 620 nucleotides long. RefSeq lists it as uncharacterized. The record is from RefSeq and is a predicted model, not a curated record. The transcript has 3 exons. NCBI's taxonomy places the organism in Eukaryota, Metazoa, Chordata, Actinopteri, Perciformes, Percidae.
UUUGGCUUUGCAUGGUAGAGUUUUAACUUGUACUUGUAGAUGUAGCAACGAACUGUGUUAACUGACAAUGGUUUUCCAAAGUGUUCCUGAGCCCACGUGGUAAUAUCCUUUACAUAAUGAUGUCGUUUUUUAAUGCAGUGCUGCCUGAGGGAUCGAAGGUCACGGGCAUUCUAUGUUGGUUUUCAACCUUGCCAUAUACGUGCAGAGAAUUAUCCAGAUUAUCUGGAUCCUUUGAUGAUAUUAUGGACUGUAGAUGAUGAAAUCCCUAAAUUCCUUGCAAUUGUACAUUGAUAAACGUUUUUUUUAAACUGUUGGACUAUUUGCUCACGCAGUUGUUCACAAAGUGGUGAAACUCGCCCCAUCCUUGCUUGUGAACGACUGAGCCUUUUGGGGAUGCUCCUUUUAUACCCAAUAAUUUAUUUUUAUUUAUUUCAGGUUUAUUUGUCAGGGACAAUGCACACUAACAAUACAUAAAAGUAAAAUGUGGCAGAAUUAGCCUGGAGGCUAUUUUAUAUCCGCUGUCCCUGGACUGGUGGUAAGAGGUCACGCUAAAAUGAGAUAAAACGAUUAAGCAAUCAAUUAAUUAUACAUACAGAUUUGGCCCUAUACAAUAAAAGUUG